GACGAACGCUAGCGACAGGCUUAACACACGCAAGUCGAGGGGCAGCGGGGAUGUAGCUUGCUAUAUCUGCCGGCGACCGGCGCACGGGUGAGUAACACGUAUGCAACCUGCCCAUUGCAGGGGGAUAAGCAGAAGAAAUUCUGUCUAAUACCGCGUAAUAUGAGAUUGAGGCAUCUCGGUUUCAUUAAAGAUUUAUCGGCAAUGGAUGGGCAUGCGGCGCAUUAGCUAGUUGGCGGGGUAACGGCCCACCAAGGCAACGAUGCGUAGGGGUUCUGAGAGGAAGGUCCCCCACACUGGUACUGAGACACGGACCAG
This 315-nucleotide ribosomal RNA is filed under the name uncultured bacterium. RNAcentral's name for it is "bacterial SSU rRNA". It matches the Rfam family "Bacterial small subunit ribosomal RNA", at positions 28 to 334 of the family's 1533-position model. The record is from RNAcentral.